Molecule: long non-coding RNA, 490 nt
Filed under: Nicotiana benthamiana
Lineage: Eukaryota; Viridiplantae; Streptophyta; Magnoliopsida; Solanales; Solanaceae
Description: long non-coding RNA (NBEN_LNC042228)
Source: RNAcentral
AAAGAUUUAGAUUAAAAACUUAAGCCAAAACACUAGAUCUCUAUGUUUGUGAGCCUGCUUUUGGCUAUUGCUUAUCCAUUUGGGUAUUUGUAACACUAAACUAGUUGUGAGGAUUCAGAUGAAGGACAACUAAUUUGCCACAUUACAAAUCUUACAACAGCAGCUUGGAGUUGGAUGUAUGUAGUUGAUUUACAUAGAGAGAAACUAGCAUAGGCAAUUAUUAAGUAUUUCAAAAUAUGGAAUUUACUAAUAGGAAAUUAUCAAAUGAGCAUAAAGAACUACAGCCAUCUGCUUCAGAAAGUGCAGAUCCAUUGUCAAUAUCUCCAUUAAAGUUAUCCCCAAAAUCACCGCGCUCUCCAAAAUCGCCUAAGUCCCCAAAGUCUCCAAGGUCUCCCGCUUAUCGUCAGAGCAAGCAUGGCGCAGAUAGGGGAAGUCCACUCAAAAAUAGAAGAAACUCUCAUUCUCCCCGAGAUGGUCGUCCAAAGAAAGG